RNAcentral lists this ribosomal RNA (594 nucleotides) under Trichoderma asperellum. RNAcentral describes it as "eukaryotic LSU rRNA". The stretch from base 204 to 357 matches the Rfam family "5.8S ribosomal RNA". Lineage: Eukaryota; Fungi; Ascomycota; Sordariomycetes; Hypocreales; Hypocreaceae. The record is from RNAcentral.
ACCAGCGGAGGGAUCAUUACCGAGUUUACAACUCCCAAACCCAAUGUGAACGUUACCAAACUGUUGCCUCGGCGGGGUCACGCCCCGGGUGCGUCGCAGCCCCGGAACCAGGCGCCCGCCGGAGGAACCAACCAAACUCUUUCUGUAGUCCCCUCGCGGACGUAUUUCUUUACAGCUCUGAGCAAAAAUUCAAAAUGAAUCAAAACUUUCAACAACGGAUCUCUUGGUUCUGGCAUCGAUGAAGAACGCAGCGAAAUGCGAUAAGUAAUGUGAAUUGCAGAAUUCAGUGAAUCAUCGAAUCUUUGAACGCACAUUGCGCCCGCCAGUAUUCUGGCGGGCAUGCCUGUCCGAGCGUCAUUUCAACCCUCGAACCCCUCCGGGGGAUCGGCGUUGGGGAUCGGGACCCCUCACACGGGUGCCGGCCCCUAAAUACAGUGGCGGUCUCGCCGCAGCCUCUCCUGCGCAGUAGUUUGCACAACUCGCACCGGGAGCGCGGCGCGUCCACGUCCGUAAAACACCCAACUUUCUGAAAUGUUGACCUCGGAUCAGGUAGGAAUACCCGCUGAACUUAAGCAUAUCAAAAGGCGGAAGGAA